Molecule: ribosomal RNA, 465 nt
Filed under: uncultured bacterium
Lineage: Bacteria
Description: partial 16S ribosomal RNA
Rfam family: Bacterial small subunit ribosomal RNA
Source: RNAcentral
GACGAACGCUGGCGGCGUGCUUAACACAUGCAAGUCGAACGGAAAGGCCCUGCUUGCAGGGUCCUCGAGUGGCGAACGGGUGAGUAACACGUGGGUGAUCUGCCCUGCACUUCGGGAUAAGCCUGGGAAACUGGGUCUAAUACCGGAUAGGAGCCAUUUUUAGUGUGAUGGUUGGAAAGUUUUUUCGGUGUAGGAUGAGCUCGCGGCCUAUCAGCUUGUUGGUGGGGUAAUGGCCUACCAAGGCGGCGACGGGUAGCCGGCCCGAGAGGGUGGACGGCCACAUUGGGACUGAGAUACGGCCCAGACUCCUACGGGAGGCAGCAGGGGGGAAUAUUGCACAAUGGGCGCAAGCCUGAUGCAGCGACGCCGCGUGGGGGAUGACGGCCUUCGGGUUGUAAACUCCUUUCGCUAGGGACGAAGCUUUUUGUGACGGUACCUAGAUAAGAAGCACCGGCUAACUACGUG